GCCCUUGUGGCGGAAUUUAGGCAGACGCGCCGCACUCAAAAUGCGGUACCGCAAGGUGUGUGGGUUCGAGUCCCACCGGGGGCA
RNAcentral lists this transfer RNA (84 nucleotides) under Enterococcus sp. Its description in RNAcentral is "tRNA-Leu". It matches the Rfam family "tRNA". From Rfam's summary of the family: Transfer RNA (tRNA) molecules are approximately 80 nucleotides in length. Their secondary structure includes four short double-helical elements and three loops (D, anti-codon, and T loops). The record is from RNAcentral. Lineage: Bacteria; Bacillati; Bacillota; Bacilli; Lactobacillales; Enterococcaceae.